AUGCAGCAGCACCUUCCACCAGUGAGGAGAAGCAGUACCGUCAGCCAUGGAGGAUCCACCGUGGUUCUUCCUCCAUCGGCAAUGUCUGUUCCUGCGGAUCUUCUUUCCUCCGCCCAGCCUACAAAAUUCAAGAGGGGAGAUCGGGAUGCUGCGCGCCGCGCCCUGCUUGGAUCUGAUGGAGCGGGCGAGGUAGUGGUCGGGGCAUGGGAUGGCGCCUUCGUCGUCAGACCAUUGGGAUUCAGCAUAUUUCUGCAGUCUUCUUCAGAGAUCAGGAGGGGACAAAUGGGAGAAAGUACCAUGUACUGA
This 306-nucleotide ribosomal RNA is filed under the name Triticum aestivum (bread wheat). RNAcentral describes it as "partial small subunit ribosomal RNA". The record is from RNAcentral. Lineage: Eukaryota; Viridiplantae; Streptophyta; Magnoliopsida; Poales; Poaceae.